GGCUGGAUCACCUCCUAACAGGGAGACAAUACCUGAUCGUGAUGUCUGAGUAUUUUUAUUCUUAGACCAUGAUCCUGUCAUCUCGAAGGUCGAUCGGUACCUCAACUUGAGGGUAAGAGAAAAGCUGAGCAAUCAGUUUAGAGACUUGCCAUUCAAUUUCAGUUCCUAAACUUUGUCUAGGUCACCCCACAGGGGCGUCAGGUUAGCUUGAAGUAGUUUGCUUUGGGUUAAGUUUUGACGUUACUGAGCGGUAGCAACUCCUGGGCCAUUAGCUCAGGUGGUUAGAGCGCACCCCUGAUAAGGGUGAGGUCCCUGGUUCAAGUCCAGGAUGGCCCAUUCACCGCCUGCUGAGCAGGCAGGACUACAUGGCUGGGGGUUUAGCUCAGUUGGUAGAGCGCCUGCUUUGCAAGCAGGAUGUCAGCGGUUCGAGUCCGCUAACCUCCAUCCAAUGUUGAGGCUCUGCUCUCAGUCCAUGCCUCGGACUAUGUAUGCUUUUAAAGGAUGCUAGGAAAGAGUUUGGAGUUUUACUGUUGUGUUGAUCUAGAUGGUUGUUUGCUGAAGAUUUCAGCUUCUUUUCAUUCUUGUCUAGUCAAGAUCUAAUCAAAAUCUGAUCAAGAUCUAAUCAAGACUGGUUGAAAGGACGCUGAAUUCAAACUGCCCUGGCAACAGGGCAGUUUGAAUGUCAGCAGAACCUUGACAACUGCAUAGUUGAAGUCUGGAAAUAAAGCAUCUCAUGGUUGCUUGAUUCAGGUCUUAAGUCAAAUCCAGUAAUGGAUUUGAUUUGGGAUGUGAGUCAAGAAAAUUCUAUUGAGUUUUUAGAGCCGAGAGCUUCCAGUUUUCUUGUUUGUCCGCCGAGGACAAGCGAGUUUGAUCCUGGCAUUCAAACCGCAAUGGAGAGUCUGAGCAAUCAGGUUCAAAGGUUGUA
This 925-nucleotide transfer RNA is filed under the name uncultured Cyanobium sp. RNAcentral describes it as "partial 16S-23S ribosomal RNA intergenic spacer". The stretch from base 372 to 444 matches the Rfam family "tRNA". The record is from RNAcentral. Lineage: Bacteria; Bacillati; Cyanobacteriota; Cyanophyceae; Synechococcales; Prochlorococcaceae.